Molecule: long non-coding RNA, 137 nt
Organism: Hibiscus syriacus
Lineage: Eukaryota; Viridiplantae; Streptophyta; Magnoliopsida; Malvales; Malvaceae
Exons: 3
Source: RefSeq, a predicted model, not a curated record
UUAGGCUGAUCAAAUAUGCAAUGUUAUACUUCUUAGCUCUCUGUCACACUUGGAAUAAUGCUGGCCUAUCUGCUGGGACUUUUUGUUGAAUGGAGGAUACUUGCAGUUUUAGUAACACUUCCUUUGUAGUUUCUUGA